AACGAACGCUGGCGGCAGGCUUAACACAUGCAAGUCGAGCGCAUUCCUUCGGGAGUGAGCGGCGGACGGGUUAGUAACGCGUGGGAACGUGCCCUCUUCUACGGAAUAGCCCAGGGAAACUUGGAUUAAUGCCGUAUACGCCCGAAAGGGGAAAGAUUUAUCGGAGGAGGAUCGGCCCGCGUUGGAUUAGGUAGUUGGUGGGGUAAUGGCCUACCAAGCCGACGAUCCAUAGCUGGUUUGAGAGGAUGAUCAGCAACACUGGGACUGAGACACGGCCCAGACUCCUACGGGAGGCAG
This 297-nucleotide ribosomal RNA is filed under the name uncultured Pseudomonadota bacterium. Its description in RNAcentral is "uncultured proteobacterium partial 16S ribosomal RNA". It matches the Rfam family "Bacterial small subunit ribosomal RNA", at positions 29 to 351 of the family's 1533-position model. Lineage: Bacteria; Pseudomonadati; Pseudomonadota. The record is from RNAcentral.